This 514-nucleotide small RNA is filed under the name Pan troglodytes (chimpanzee). RNAcentral describes it as "retained intron". The record is from RNAcentral. Lineage: Eukaryota; Metazoa; Chordata; Mammalia; Primates; Hominidae.
GCUCCCGGAGACUUGAUGAUGACUCCUUAGAAGAACAGAUAAGGCAGACCAGUGAGGACUCGAGAGCCCUAAGGGAGCUCAUGGAGGGAGAGAGGGGUAAACUGAGGCAAAGCCUAGAAGAGCUGCAGCGACUCCACAGUCAGGUGACACUGCUGAGUGUGGAGAUGACUGCCCUAAAAGAGGAGAGAGACCGACUCAGAGUCACUUCUGAGGACAAGGAGCCAAAGGAGCAGCUUCAGAAGGCCAUCAGGGACCGCGACGAGGCCAUUGCAAAGAAGAAUGCUGUGGAGCUGGAACUUGCCAAGUGCAGGAUGGAUAUGAUGUCUCUGAACAGCCAGUUGCUGGAUGCCAUUCAGCAGAAACUGAACCUCUCGCAGCAGCUGGAAGCUUGGCAGGUAAACUGGAGCCUGAGAUCCAGGGCGAGAGGAGACUCCAGGAGGAAUCUCUGAACCCAGGCAGAGUGUAAGGAGAGUUUGCCACUGGAGGGUCCCAUGUGACUGGGUGAACAGCACAU